This 391-nucleotide ribosomal RNA is filed under the name uncultured Pelotomaculum sp. RNAcentral describes it as "bacterial SSU rRNA". It matches the Rfam family "Bacterial small subunit ribosomal RNA", at positions 992 to 1382 of the family's 1533-position model. The record is from RNAcentral. Lineage: Bacteria; Bacillati; Bacillota; Clostridia; Eubacteriales; Desulfotomaculaceae.
UGACCGCGUAUGAAGUACGUUUUCACCUCGGGUGACAGGGAGACAGGUGGUGCAUGGUUGUCGUCAGCUCGUGUCGUGAGAUGUUGGGUUAAGUCCCGCAACGAGCGCAACCCCUACGUUUAGUUGCUAACGCGUGAAGGCGAGCACUCUAGACGAACUGCCGUUGACAAAACGGAGGAAGGUGGGAUGACGUCAAAUCAUCAUGCCCCUUAUGUUCUGGGCUACACACGUGCUACAAUGGCCGGUACAGACGGACGCAAAGCCGCGAGGUGGAGCAAAUCCUAAAAAGCCGGUCUCAGUUCGGAUUGCAGGCUGCAAUUCGCCUGCAUGAAGUCGGAAUCGCUAGUAAUCGCAGGUCAGCAUACUGCGGUCGAAUACGUUCCCGGGCCUU